This is a small nuclear RNA of Fukomys damarensis (Damara mole-rat), 104 nucleotides long. The record is from Ensembl. NCBI's taxonomy places the organism in Eukaryota, Metazoa, Chordata, Mammalia, Rodentia, Bathyergidae.
CAUUUAAAUUUUAUCUGAUAUAUGAAAACUGGAAGGAUGCAGAGAAGACUAGCAUGGCCCACAAAUAAGGAUAACACCAAAUUCUUGAAGCCUUCCAUAUUUUU